This 657-nucleotide ribosomal RNA is filed under the name uncultured bacterium. RNAcentral describes it as "bacterial SSU rRNA". It matches the Rfam family "Bacterial small subunit ribosomal RNA", at positions 560 to 1219 of the family's 1533-position model. The record is from RNAcentral.
GUAAAGCGCGCGCAGGCGGCUAUUUAAGUUGGAUGUGAAAGCCUAGGACAACCGUAGAACUGCAUCCAAAACUAUUUAGCUAGAGUGUGGGAGAGGAAGAUGGAAUUAGUUGUGUAGGGGUAAAAUCCGUAGAGAUAACUAGGAAUACCAAAAGCGAAGGCAACCUUCUGGAACACUACUGACGCUGAGGCGCGAAAGCGUGGGGAGCAAACAGGAUUAGAUACCCUGGUAGUCCACGCAGUAAACGAUGAAUGUUAGUCGUCGGGUAGCUAGUCUAUUCGGUGAUGCAGCUAACGCAUUAAACAUUCCGCCUGGGGAGUACGGUCGCAAGAUUAAAACUCAAAGGAAUAGACGGGGACCCGCACAAGUGGUGGAGCAUGUGGUUUAAUUCGAAGAUACGCGAAGAACCUUACCUAGCCUUGACAUAUUUUAGAACACCCUAGAGAUAGAGUGGUGCCUUCGGGAGCUAAUAUACAGGUGCUGCACGGCUGUCGUCAGCUCGUGUCGUGAGAUGUUGGGUUAAAUCCCGCAACGAGCGCAACCCUCGUCACUAGUUACUAACGGUUCGGCCGAGGACUCUAGUGAGACUGCCUUCGUAAGGAGGAGGAAGGUGAGGACGACGUCAAGUCAUCAUGGCCCUUACGGCUAGGGCAACAC